AGAGUUUGAUCAUGGCUCAGAAUCAACGCUGGCGGCGUGCCUAACACAUGCAAGUCGCACGAGAAAGGGGACUUCGGUUCCUGAGUAAAGUGGCGCACGGGUGAGUAACACGUGAAUGAUCUACCUCCGAGUGGGGAAUAACCUAGGGAAACCUGGGCUAAUACCGCAUAACACUUACGAGUCAAAGCAGCAAUGCGCUUGGAGAGGAGUUCGCGGCAGAUUAGCUAGUUGGCGGGGUAAUGGCCCACCAAGGCGAUGAUCUGUAUCCGGCCUGAGAGGGCGCACGGACACACUGGAACUGAAACACGGCCCAGACUCCUACGGGAGGCAGC
RNAcentral lists this ribosomal RNA (332 nucleotides) under uncultured soil bacterium. RNAcentral describes it as "bacterial SSU rRNA". It matches the Rfam family "Bacterial small subunit ribosomal RNA", at positions 8 to 352 of the family's 1533-position model. The record is from RNAcentral.